AGCGACCCACCUGGACGGUCGCUGCAGCCGGGGUCGCUAAAAGUUUUAGCGACCCACCUCUGUAUUAGCGACAGACUGUGAGUUGCUAUUGAGAACUAUAUAGCGACCCACUGUGGGAUUGUAUAGAGUACAUUAGCAACCAACUAAAGGUCAGUGAUUCCUGACACCAGCAUAUAAGUAAUAGUAUUAAUUAUCGCUAUUGACAAUAAUUAUUAGUAUUAAUAGGAAUUAUUAGUAUCAAUGUUGACCAUCACAAAUACAAUAUCACUUGAUUAUAUUGAGUACUAAAUGGUCCAUUCCAUCACAAAUUGUCAUAAGUCAUGAGCUAAACAAUAACUAGAUUAGCUUACAAUAUCAAUCGUCAUAAGCUGUGCAUUAGCUAAACAGUAGCUAGAUUUAGUUACAAAAGAGCUGUUUGCAUUCUUGCAAAUAUAUCAUUGCAUUCAUCAUGCACAGUAUCAUUCACAAAACAACUAGCUAGCUAGCAGCUUGCACAUAUAUUUCUUGCCGCUCACAAAAAGGAAGCUCCUGCCAUGAGUUGCGAGCUUCCAGCUGAACCUGCCCUGUGAUUGACUUGAUCAUGUCCCAACAUGCCCUGUGAAGUAAUUACAAGACUCCAAGUUACCACAUGGCUAGAAAAAUAACCAGAAAUAUAUGCACUUUGUUACACUAUCAUCAAUACUAAAUAUUAUGCACUGUCAGGAUAAAUAUUCUGCAAAAUCACUUCAAUCUAGGAUAGAAAGAGCCCCAGAAAAUAAUAUGCACUGGCAGUAUUUGGCAGAAAUGAGUCACAAGUUUGAAGAGGGAGGACAAGAAAAUACUAUACAUUGGCAGUUUCCAUAUACUAGCUAAUUAAUCAACUUGGAUUGUGAGAAUGACUUAUUCUUUGAUCAUAUAACAUGAAGAGUUAAUAGCACCAGUUUUACAGAAAUGAGGUCCACAAAACCAAUGGAACCAUAUCUGACCACAUGUUCAGCUACCAUUUUUUGCAAUGUACUUCCUAGUUACUACUAAAUUACAGAAGGAAAAAAAAUCUCAGAUAUUGUAUCAGGUUUUAACCAAAACCAAAUGAUGACAAUCACGAAAAAAAUAACUCCAAGUAUAUGUGCUUUCUGUCCUCAUUCUUGCCAAAAAAAUAACGUGCAGAUCACAAUCACGAAUGGGAGAAGCAUGCACUACAACCAGAAAAAAUAACAGCAAAUCACAAUCAUGAAAGGGAGAAGCAUGCACUACAACCAAAGACACCACCAGAAACACCACCAGCAAGUAUAUGUGCUUUCUACCUAAUCUGAACUAGAUCAACCUGCAGAAGAACAAGCAAUCGGCAUCAUGCUAGCAUCAGCCAAAGUCUCCAUACCAUCAUAUGGACGAGGAAGAAUUGUAUCCCU
Panicum hallii is the source of this 1388-nucleotide long non-coding RNA. RefSeq lists it as uncharacterized. The record is from RefSeq and is a predicted model, not a curated record. Lineage: Eukaryota; Viridiplantae; Streptophyta; Magnoliopsida; Poales; Poaceae. The transcript has 3 exons.